This 253-nucleotide ribosomal RNA is filed under the name uncultured bacterium. Its description in RNAcentral is "partial 16S ribosomal RNA". It matches the Rfam family "Bacterial small subunit ribosomal RNA", at positions 524 to 776 of the family's 1533-position model. The record is from RNAcentral.
UACAUGUGGGGCAAGCGUUGUUCGGAAUUACUGGGCAUAAAGGGUGCGUAGGCGGUUUGUUAAGUCACUGGUGAAAGUUUUCGGCCCAACCGGAAAAUUGCCUGUGAUACUGGCGAACUUGAGUGCGUGAGGGGUGGGGGGAACGAGCAGUGUAGCGGUGAAAUGCGUAGAUAUUGCUCGGAAGGCCGGAGCCGAAGGGGCCCCACUGGUACGUAACUGACGCUGAGGCACGAAAGUGUGGGGAGCAAACAGG